UGCAGAUGAUGUUAAAGAAUAUUUGCUAUCUUACAACUCUGAAGACAAAUUUCUCACCAAGAUCGCUGAUGCA
Molecule: small nucleolar RNA, 73 nt
Organism: Scophthalmus maximus (turbot)
Lineage: Eukaryota; Metazoa; Chordata; Actinopteri; Pleuronectiformes; Scophthalmidae
Gene: SNORD24
Rfam family: Small nucleolar RNA SNORD24
About the family: U24 is a member of the C/D class of snoRNA which contain the C (UGAUGA) and D (CUGA) box motifs. C/D box snoRNAs have been shown to act as methylation guides for a number of RNA targets. U24 is encoded within an intron of the gene for ribosomal protein L7a in mammals, chicken and Fugu.
Source: Ensembl